UACGUAGGGGGCCAGCGUUGCUCGGAAUUACUGGGCGUAAAGGGUUCGUAGGUGGUGCGGCAAGUUGGGAGUGAAAUCUCUGGGCUCAACCCAGAGGCUGCUUCCAAAACUGCCAUGCUUGAGGGUGGGAGAGGCGCGUGGAAUUGCAGGUGGAGCGGUGAAAUGCGUAGAUAUCUGCAGGAACACCCGUGGCGAAAGCGGCGCGCUGGACCACAACUGACGCUGAGGAACGAAAGCUAGGGGAGCAAACAGG
Molecule: ribosomal RNA, 253 nt
Filed under: uncultured bacterium
Lineage: Bacteria
Description: partial 16S ribosomal RNA
Rfam family: Bacterial small subunit ribosomal RNA
Source: RNAcentral